RNAcentral lists this ribosomal RNA (443 nucleotides) under uncultured bacterium. RNAcentral describes it as "partial 16S ribosomal RNA". It matches the Rfam family "Bacterial small subunit ribosomal RNA", at positions 338 to 795 of the family's 1533-position model. The record is from RNAcentral.
CCUACGGGAGACAGCAGUGGGGAAUAUUGGGCAAUGGGCGCAAGCCUGACCCAGCAACGCCGCGUGAAGGAAGAAGGCUUUCGGGUUGUAAACUUCUUUUCUGAGGGACGAAGAAAGUGACGGUACCGCAGGAAUAAGCCACGGCUAACUACGUGCCAGCAGCCGCGGUAAGACGUAGGUGGCAAGCGUUAUCAGGAUUUAUUGGGUGUAAAGGGCGUGUAGGGGGGAAAGCAAGUCAGAUGUGAAAACUCAGGGCUCAACCCUGAGCCUGCAUUUGAAACUGUUUUUCUUGAGUGCUGGAGAGGCAAUCGGAAUUCCGUGUGUAGCGGUGAAAUGCGUAGAUCUCCGGAGGAACCCCAGUGGCGAAGGCGGAUUGCUGGACAGUAACUGACGCUGAGGCGCGAAAGCGUGGGGAGCAAACAGGAUUAGAUACCCGAGUAGUC